UUGCCCCAGUAACGGCGAGUGAAGCGGCAAGAGCUCAAAUUUGAAAUCUGGCCUCCCCCGUGGGGGCCCGAGUUGUAAUUUGGAGAGGAUGCUUCGGGUCCGGCCCCUGUCGAAGUGCCCUGGAACGGGCCGUCGGAGAGGGUGAGAAUCCCGUCUGGGAUGGGCCGCCGGGCCCGGGUGAAGCUCCUUCGACGAGUCGAGUUGUUUGGGAAUGCAGCUCCAAGUGGGUGGUAAAUUUCAUCUAAAGCUAAAUACUGGCCGGAGACCGAUAGCGCACAAGUAGAGUGAUCGAAAGAUGAAAAGCACUUUGAAAAGAGAGUUAAAGAGCAUGUGAAAUUGUUGAAAGGGAAGCGCUGGCGACCAGACUCACGCGGGGAGGUCCCCCCGGCACGUGUGUCGGCACAUGCCCCCCCGUGUGGGCCAGCGUCGGUUCGGUGGGGUCGCUGAAAGGUCCCCGGAAUGUAGCGCCCUCCGGGGCGUCUUAUAGCCGGGGAUGCCAUGUGACCCUCGGGAUCGAGGAACGCGCUACGGCUCGGACGCUGGCGUAAUGGUCGUGAGCGGCCCGUCUUGAAACACGGACCAAGGAGUCUAACAUCUACGCGAGUGUUUGGGUGUCAAACCCGUGCGCGCAGUGAAAGCGAACGGAGGUGGGAACCCCCUCGGGGGUGCACCAUCGACCGAUCCGGAUGUCCUCGGAUGGAUUUGAGUAGGAGCGUAGCUGUUGGGACCCGAAAGAUGGUGAACUAUGCCUGAAUAGGGUGAAGCCAGAGGAAACUCUGGUGGAGGCUCGCAGCGGUUCUGACGUGCAAAUCGAUCGUCAAAUUUGGGUAUAGGGGCGAAAGAC
This 844-nucleotide ribosomal RNA is filed under the name Pseudotulostoma volvatum. Its description in RNAcentral is "partial large subunit ribosomal RNA". It matches the Rfam family "Eukaryotic large subunit ribosomal RNA", at positions 75 to 931 of the family's 3401-position model. The record is from RNAcentral. Lineage: Eukaryota; Fungi; Ascomycota; Eurotiomycetes; Eurotiales; Elaphomycetaceae.